GUUACCUAGCCUGGUCAUGAAAUGUUUGGAAACCAACCCACAAGCUCGGAAAAGGAGCCUUCACCUUCAAUCUUCAUUGUUUUUAUAGUGAUGGGUUGCAAACAAAAUUUCAUGAACAACCAUUUGCCAAAUAUCAAAGGUUUUUCAAGACAAAAAAAUACUUCUAUUGUUUAAGUAUGCAUCCUGCUUUUGAGAAGAUAAUUUCUCCCUUUAAUAAGAAGAAGCUUGUCUUUGAAAGGCAAAAUUGCAGGGCUGGAAACUGUAAGAAAUUUCCACAUAAGAAUGGUACUGAGGAAAGAAGAAACCUGGCAAUCUGGCCCGCUGUAACGGCUAUGCAAACUAAACUUUAAGAUAUCUAAGUCAAGCAUAA
Molecule: long non-coding RNA, 370 nt
Organism: Pantherophis guttatus
Lineage: Eukaryota; Metazoa; Chordata; Lepidosauria; Squamata; Colubridae
Source: RefSeq, a predicted model, not a curated record